GCAAAUUCCCCGUUCUGCAUGAGAAGGCGCGGAUCUGGGUCACUAUCUGGGUUGACGCGCGGACCUUCAAUGUCCCAAACGGUGCCGUUUCGUUGUUAAUUAAUAAAAAGAAAGAAAAACCUAAGACCUAAAUACUUCAACAGACUGAAAAGGGGCAAAUGAAGGGGAGAAGAGGGAGAGAGGGGAACGAUGCCCACAACGCCUCGGUCUUAGCCGAUUCGGCGUUCAUUGGUGCUCAACGCCUCCGCCUCCAUCAUGGCACCAGUCUAAAACCCCUCAAAACGCAGGUAAGUUUACUCGUCUUUUAUUUUGCUAAAAUUUUUAUCUACCAAAGCAAAGAGAAAAAAAAGAAAAUAAAAACCCAAAAGGGAGAAUAUGAAUCGAAGAACCACUUUCGGUUUUUCUGAGUAUUGUUUCAAACGUUUGCAUUCGUAUUGAUUUCUUUUUGCGUAAUCUCUGUGAACGUAACCUUACAAAGGAUGAAAUCCUUUGGCUUUAUAGCCCAAAGGAAAGAAAGAAAAAUCAAUAAAAUAAAUAAAAAAUACAAUAUUUCCAUUUGUUUGUAUUUGUUGCUGUUGCUUGUUUUUUUUUUUUUUUGCAGGUACGGGUGUGCUGGUGCUCGGGUACGGAGGCUUGGGCAUGGCAUGGCUGUUGAGGUGCUGGCAUCGUACGAAGGCGUUGUCUGGUUGCAGCGUAAGCAUUAGGCUAGGGUUUUUUUGCCUGCUUUAAAUUUUGGGCCACUUGGGCCUAUUGUAUUUGGCCUUGGGUUAUGUAGCUGGGAUUGGGUCUGUUAUAAAACUGGACUGUUGUAUUGGUUUGGUUUAAAAUUUUAUUAUUUAUUUAUUUUGUAUAUAUUUUGGUUUCUAGUGGGCCCGGGCAAAUUGGCCCAUUUACAAUGUUGAAUUUUUAAUUUGGCAGUAGUGAAUCGUGGAAGUCGUGGCCCCCCUCUUAUAGAUUCAUAGUUAGGGAUUGCCAGAAUUUGGAGGUAAGUGAUGAGUGGUCGAUAUAUCUCGUUUGGUUUCGUAGUUACGGUUUAGUUACAUGUUAAAUCUGAAUUUGGGCUUUGGAUUAUCGAUUGUUAGAUUUUGGAGUGCUCGGGAUUGUGUUUGCUAUGAAAUUAUAUCAGGUGUGUACCCGAAAUGUAGAAAAAUAGGAUUUGGCGAAAGCUGGAAUACCCCAUUGUCGACGCCACACGGGCAUGUGGUUGCCUGUGUGGUAGGAUGUGUGCGACAACACGGCUGUGUGACCGACAAAGGCUAGGUCAUGCGUAAGACAGAGUCGUGUGAUGUUUGAGGUGUGGCCGUAUGGGCUACACAAGCUAAACCAAAUUGGGUGUAUGGGCCACACGGGCCUGUGGGCCUACAUAGACAUUCCACACGGAUGUAUGAUAUCUGGGCCAGGCUGUGUGAUCUGCACUGGCAAUGCCAAUCUAGGUGUGUGGGCCCAUUUAGCUAAAAUGUUUCCUAGGGUUGCACGGGUCACCCAAGUCGACUGUGAACCUACUGUAGGGUCGAUAAAUACUACUUAGACCCUAAAUCGUGUGACCUGAAUAUAUAAUGCAUGUACUAAGCAUGUUAAAUUUAUGCAUGUUUACCGGUCUGUAUGUAUGAUUGAUAACUGAAUUUUAGCAUGUAAGCAUGUAUCUCUGUAUGUUUGCAUUAAGCAUGUUUAGUUGCAUCUGCAUUGGGGUGGGAUGAUUGAUUAUUGGAGGAAAUGUACUGAAAGGCUUUCAUGCUUAUUAUCUGGCAGCUUAGCUACAAUAUUACCGAUAUGUGUCGUAUUUGGUACAACUUGGUGUGUAGGGUUGAGUGGGUGUUCCAAACCCCACAGGGUGUGUAGGGAUGGUCGGAGAUGGUGUGUAGAGGCUAGUGGGUAGGAUACUGAUUUUUGUUACUGAAUACAUAAUGUAUCUAAGAUGGGCUAAGGCCUUAAUUUAUAUCUGAACUAUAUUUGAAUUUGUAAUAGGCUUAGGCACCAGACUGCAUGUGACUAAUAAUUGUCGUUUUACUAUAUGCAUGUUAUCUAUGGGGAUUACACACUGAGUUUACAUAAACUCACCCCUUUUUGUUUUAUCUAUGCAGGUAAUCCUCAGACUACUUUUGAUGUAAUUUGAGACUUUUGUGACUGUUUGCCUUUAUUUUGGAUUUCAACUGUUUUCAUGGACUUUUAAACUGCAAAAAUCAAUGAAAACUCGGUUUAAUUAAAAACAAUGUUUUCCUAAAAUGCAAACGUUUUUCUUUAAAUAUCACGGUUUUAAAAGCUUCCCCUACAGAAUAUGUUUUUAAACGAAU
Molecule: long non-coding RNA, 2291 nt
Filed under: Gossypium barbadense (sea-island cotton)
Lineage: Eukaryota; Viridiplantae; Streptophyta; Magnoliopsida; Malvales; Malvaceae
Description: long non-coding RNA (GBAR_LNC002951)
Source: RNAcentral